Molecule: transfer RNA, 72 nt
Organism: Ovis aries (sheep)
Lineage: Eukaryota; Metazoa; Chordata; Mammalia; Artiodactyla; Bovidae
Rfam family: tRNA
About the family: Transfer RNA (tRNA) molecules are approximately 80 nucleotides in length. Their secondary structure includes four short double-helical elements and three loops (D, anti-codon, and T loops).
Source: Rfam
UCCCUUAUAGCUUAGUUGGUAAAGAAUCUGCCUGAAAUGCAGGAGACCCGAGUUCAAUUCCUGGGUCGGGAA